CGAACGCUGGCGGCGUGCUUAACACAUGCAAGUCAAACGGGAAAGUCCUUUUCGGAGGGCGAGUACAGUGGCGAACGGGUGAGUAACACGUGGGUAACCUACCCUUGGGAUCGGGAUAACCUUGCGAAAGCGAGGCUAAUACCGGAUAAGACCACAUUGUUCAUGGACAGUGCGGUAAAAGGCGGCCUCUUCUUGAAAGCUGUCACCUGGGGAUGGGCCCGCGGCCUAUUAGCUUGUUGGUGAGGUAACGGCUCACCAAGGCGACGAUGGGUAGCCGGCCUGAGAGGGUGAACGGUCACACUGGCACUGAGACACGGGCCAGACUCCUACGGGAGGCAGCAGUGGGGAAUUUUGCGCAAUGGGGGAAACCCUGACGCAGCAACGCCGCGUGAGUGAUGAAGGCCUUAGGGUCGUAAAGCUCUUUUAGUGGGGAAGAAACAUCCGUGGGCUAAUACUCCAUGGACUUGACGGUACCCACAGAAAAAGUCCCGGCUAACUAC
This 500-nucleotide ribosomal RNA is filed under the name uncultured bacterium. RNAcentral describes it as "bacterial SSU rRNA". It matches the Rfam family "Bacterial small subunit ribosomal RNA", at positions 30 to 504 of the family's 1533-position model. The record is from RNAcentral.